This 72-nucleotide transfer RNA is filed under the name Pristionchus pacificus. RNAcentral's name for it is "tRNA-Glu (CTC) (tRNA-Glu-CTC-11-1)". It matches the Rfam family "tRNA". Rfam says of the family: Transfer RNA (tRNA) molecules are approximately 80 nucleotides in length. Their secondary structure includes four short double-helical elements and three loops (D, anti-codon, and T loops). The record is from Rfam by way of RNAcentral. Lineage: Eukaryota; Metazoa; Nematoda; Chromadorea; Rhabditida; Neodiplogasteridae.
UCCGAUGUAGUCUAGUAGUUAUGAUUUGUGACUCUCACCCGCAAGGCCCGGGUUCGAUUCCCGGCAUCGGAA